GACGAACGCUGGCGGCGUGCUUAACACAUGCAAGUCGAACGGAAAGGCCCUGCUUUUGUGGGGUGCUCGAGUGGCGAACGGGUGAGUAACACGUGAGUAACCUGCCCUUGACUUUGGGAUAACUUCAGGAAACUGGGGCUAAUACCGGAUAGGAGCUCCUGCUGCAUGGUGGGGGUUGGAAAGUUUCGGCGGUUGGGGAUGGACUCGCGGCUUAUCAGCUUGUUGGUGGGGUAGUGGCUUACCAAGGCUUUGACGGGUAGCCGGCCUGAGAGGGUGACCGGGGACAUUGGGACUGAGAUACGGCCCAGACUCCUACGGUAGGCAGCAGUGGGGAAUAUUGCACAAUGGGCGGGAGCCUGAUGCAGAAGCGCCGCGUGCGUGAUGACGGCCUUCGGGGUGUAAACCGCUUUCGCCUGUGACGAAGCGGGAGUGACGGUAAUGGGUAAAGAAGCACCGGCUAACUACGUG
This 468-nucleotide ribosomal RNA is filed under the name uncultured bacterium. Its description in RNAcentral is "partial 16S ribosomal RNA". It matches the Rfam family "Bacterial small subunit ribosomal RNA", at positions 28 to 507 of the family's 1533-position model. The record is from RNAcentral.